This 21-nucleotide non-coding RNA is filed under the name Arabidopsis thaliana (thale cress). The record is from RNAcentral. Lineage: Eukaryota; Viridiplantae; Streptophyta; Magnoliopsida; Brassicales; Brassicaceae.
GGUCGAUCUCCUCUAUAUACA